UUUGUUUAGCUAAAUAAGUGGCAUAAAUUCUAGGCCCAACUUACGUGAGGAUGGGACUAUGGUUAUAAAAUUUUAUAGGUGAUCUUUUUCUAUCCACAGCCUAAGCGGAAACAGGUCAAUGAGAGACAUCAACUCAGCCAGUAGCAGGACACCAGAUGACCUCACCCCUGUCUACUUGGAGACCAGAGAGAUUCCUCCCAAGCCUUCAGAUGCUGACAAAAGCCCUGAGGUGCUCUGCAGUGGAAGAGUAUUCAGGGUUAUCUCCUCUGCCAUGUUGCCAGAAGUGGUCCCAUCCAUCAUCUCUAGACCUCCUCUCACUACCUUCCGCCCCACGCUCCAGAGUUGCUGGCAUCCUGCCUACGGUUCUGUCUCCACUCCAAGCCUUCUCAUCAUCCUGGGCCAUGUCAGCACAGAUGUGGGCGACCCAUCCAAUAUCUCAGCCUCUCAAUCCCUCCUCACUUUUAAUGAUUAAUGAUCUUUAUUUUCACCUUCUUUCAGUCACCUACUAUGGCCUUUUCCACCACAUCAGUGACACCACCUUUACAAAUGUGAAUUCCAUCAUGUUCCUCUUGAACCAUGAUCUCUUAUAUUUCCAGUCCUCUCAUGCAGUUACUUCCUUGACAUUUCCUCCAGUCUUCCCUUUCCUUCCUGUCCUGUUUACAUACUAGAGUCCAUAAUUUACACUCAGUCCACCCACUUUGCCCAGACACAUUUCAGGGGCACCUGCCUGAACAACAACAAACUUGGAGAAAUGCAAGUCUGCCUUUUUCAUACUUUCCCCUUGAGCUUAUGCAAAAAUCCACAUAAACUAUGUACAUGGUGCCUCUUAUAUUCAAGUUCUGUGUCUAUCUAAACUGCUCCGCAAUGCUUUCAGGUCUCUAUCAUUCUGUCUGCCAUGAUACACAAUCAUCAUUGCAGGGCUUCUCCAGGAAACCGUGACUCUCUCCACAGCCCCUGACAAAAGAAUUGUCCCCCUACUUCACAGGAGAAACGGACGCCAUCAGAGAACUCCUCAGCCUUCCUGCCACCAAAUUUCUACCUUACCCCACUGUGGCAGGCAGGCAGCCUUGUAAUGGCCCUGCUUCCCGAGAUUCACACUCCUGUACAGUCACCUUCCUUUGAGUGAGGGCUGGGCCAAAUGACUCCAUUGUAACAGAGUUCAGCAGAAGUGACUGGAUACGUCACUUCUGAGGGUGAUAACAGACAGUGACCUUCACCUUGCUGGCCCUCUCUUGCUCUCUCUCGGUUUCACUCUGCCACGUUUCAAGCUGCCCUGUGCAGAGGCCGAUGGGGCAAGAAACAGGGGCAGAGCGCCAGCCAGCGAGCACCCAGGACCUGGGAUCCUCAGUCCAAUGGCUCCCCAAGGCCAAAACCCUGCCAACAGCCUGCUGAGUGAGCUUGAAAGCAGAUCCUUCGUGAAUUGAGGGUGGAGAUGCUACAGUCCCGGUACAUACCUGGACUGCAAUUUCAGAGACUGUCUGAGUCAGAGGACUCAGCUAAGAUGCCUGGAUUCCUGACCACAGAUAUAAUCACUGCAUUGUUGGAGGCAGCUACAUCUUGGGGUAAUUUGUUGUCACACAGCAACAGGUGAGGAAUACACACGCCCACUCAGCCUUCCUGCCCUUGUGGCAGUGGGAAGGCUGCAUCUCCCAGCCUGGGAACAUUCCACCACCAGGUGGAGAGGCCCUUUUCCUUCUCCUGCUCCCAGGUCCUAGUCUGUCCCCCACAGACUAGGACCUCCUCCUUCUCAUCACACGUGUCUACACGCCUCCUUUAAGAGUAGAACCUUAAAGGAGCCAGGAGCCACGCUGCUCUGGCUCAUCGUUGGGCCCUCAGUUCCCACCACCAUUCUUUGAACAUGAAAG
This is a long non-coding RNA of Capra hircus (goat), 1865 nucleotides long. NCBI's taxonomy places the organism in Eukaryota, Metazoa, Chordata, Mammalia, Artiodactyla, Bovidae. The record is from Ensembl.